Molecule: long non-coding RNA, 210 nt
Filed under: Gigantopelta aegis
Lineage: Eukaryota; Metazoa; Mollusca; Gastropoda; Neomphalida; Peltospiridae
Description: uncharacterized LOC121373204, transcript variant X2
Source: RNAcentral
CGACGGAGUGUCACGAAGCGUAGCUGAAUGUGGGUGCUGUCGGGUUCUUUCUGUACAACUGGAUCAAAAUUAUGAAAGAGAUAUCAGAAAUGAUGACCAUCUCCAGAGGGUAAGGAAAGUUGCUGUUGUUGUAAACGAAGACAAAACUCAACAGAAACCCGCUGCUCAUCUGCAGAUGGACCCUGAUGCGCAGUAUGACAAAGGUGAGAU